UAGAGUUUUAUUCUUGCUUUUAUCAUUCAUUUUUUAUUUGUUCUAUAUGUAAAUUUGUGUGUGGGUGCCGCUUGUGUGUUCUAGAUGAAUCACGAAGGGAUUAAUAAGAUAUUUCUCAUUAGUUAUUAUUAGUUGUUCAAGUAUUUUUGUAUCUAGCAAUAUGUUUAGUUUCGGUUAAAUUUUGUGCCAGCAGCCGCGGUUAUACUUUGGAAGCAUUUGAAUGUGUUUGGCAUUAAAGAUAGUUAUAUUAUUUGUUUUGUGGAUUUGUUUGUAUUAGUUUUAGGUGAAAUUUUUUAUUGUUUUGUCUAUCUAUUAUAUAAUUGGAGGCUAUGAAAUUUUGUGUUUAAACUAGGAUUAGAUACCCUAUUAUUUUGGAAUGUUAAUUUUAUGUGCCUGAGUAGUAUUAGUUAAGUUCUUGAAACUUAAAGAAUUUGGCGGUAUCUCAUUCCGUUCAGAGGAAUCUGUCUCGUUAUCGAUAGUCCGCGUUGGACCUUACUUAGUUGAUUUGGUUUGUAUACCGCCGUUUGGUUGAUUAUCUUUUUAGGGGUUAUUUAAAAUUUUCUGGUUUCUUUAUUUUGAUGUAUUUCAGGUCAAGGUGCAGCUUGUUUCUAAGUGGAAUGAUGGGUUACAUUGUUAUUUGUUUGUUUGGAUUGUUGAUUUUAAUAUUGGUAUGAAAUUGGAUUUGGUUGUAAUAAUUUGUAGAUUGUUAUUAUGAUAAUUGGUUCUGAGAUAUGCACACAUCGCCCGUCGCUCUCGUUUCUACUAUGAUGAGAUAAGUCGUAACAAAGUGGUUGUACCGGAAGGUGCAGCUGGAUUGAU
RNAcentral lists this non-coding RNA (819 nucleotides) under Constrictotermes cavifrons. Lineage: Eukaryota; Metazoa; Arthropoda; Insecta; Blattodea; Termitidae. The record is from RNAcentral.